Molecule: ribosomal RNA, 194 nt
Filed under: uncultured bacterium
Lineage: Bacteria
Description: partial 16S ribosomal RNA
Rfam family: Bacterial small subunit ribosomal RNA
Source: RNAcentral
CCUACGGGAGGCAGCAGUGGGGAAUUUUGGACAAUGGGGGAAACCCUGAUCCAGCCAUGCCGCGUGUGUGAAGAAGGCCUUCGGGUUGUAAAGCACUUUCGGACGGAACGAAAUCGCGCGUGUUAAUAACCCGCGUGGAUGACGGUACCGUAAGAAGAAGCACCGGCUAACUACGUGCCAGCAGCCGCGGUAAU